This is a long non-coding RNA of Lycium barbarum (goji berry), 536 nucleotides long. RefSeq lists it as uncharacterized. NCBI's taxonomy places the organism in Eukaryota, Viridiplantae, Streptophyta, Magnoliopsida, Solanales, Solanaceae. The transcript is spliced from 3 exons. The record is from RefSeq and is a predicted model, not a curated record.
UCUCAAUUUCAUUUCUGUAUUAAUGUUAUUUUCUUAGUCUCAAUAUUUCAUAACCUUCUUCCGUUGGUGUUCACCUUAGCCGUUUGUGUCGGUCUAAAAACUAAUGUUAAAGUUAUUCCUAAUGGAGUUCAGGAUGUAGUUGGUGAUGCAACUCGGAAUUAACUUUCGCAACUGUUGUUAGUUCUUCCUCAGUAAGGAUGUUCAAUGGCAAGCAUUCUAAUUACAAAAAUAAAAGAGAAGGGAUCCAUGCUGAUCCAACUCUUUGUUAUGAAAAGAAGGGAUAACGAAGUGCAUAACCAGAUGCAGCUGUUUGUUGGUGUUUGUGGUGUAAGAAAAUUCUUAAGUACAAUUGUAAGGGGAAAGAGCCGUCCCGUAAUUGUUCCUACGUAACUUUUAAAUUGGCUUCUUCAAUAGUUUAUGUAAGCUUGCUCUUUAGUAAGUAAAGAGUUUACUUGGUCAUGUUGAUAAUUAUUGUUGCUCCAUGCACAUCUCUCAUCCACAGUGGCGGAGUUAGAAAUUUGAUGAAGGAUGUGCAA